AUUUAGCAGUUAUAUAAAAUCAUCUAAUGUUUUACCAAAUUGUUAAUCUUCUUUUGUAAAUGUCCAUCUUUGUGGAGUUUAUAUUCUUAUCAUGAAUACCCAUUUAAUGUCAGCAUGUUAGUUAGUCAUCCACAAAGUCAUUUCAAUAAAACACAUGGUUGGUGUGUUGUUUGGUUCAUGGGAUUGUAAAGUACUUCCUGAGUUCAAUUUUUUGUGACUUACUUUUCUUUAUAUUCUAUUUUAAAAAGAAGCCACUUUCUAUAUUUAGUAGCUCUUUAAUUCAAUCAUCCCAUCUAGCAUUUUUAAAUCCACGAGAUGUAAAGAGUAUUUUGAUACAUUCUGCACAUCUUUAGUUUAAAAUCAUAAGAUUCGAAAGUCUUUCUUAUUUUCUUAAACUGCAUGGUUAGUGAAACUAAGUCACAUACAUGUAAUGGAGGGAGUAAUUUGUGAUGUAUCGUCAUAUGACUUUUUGAGGAAAAGAAUCCUGGUGCUUAGACUGUUAAAUUGCUGAGGAGAUUGUCUCAUGAAAUGGAACCUGUGAACACUGCUCUGCUAUGUUGCUCGGACUCUUCCAAAAUAUAGUUGGGAGCUCUACUUUCUUAUUUCUUGAAAUCAAUUGAUAUUUUUUCUGUGACCAUUGGACAAUCCAGUAUAGCUUCUAAAACCUCCAUUAUUGGAGAUGAAGUGAUGAGAGCUAUACACGAGUGUAUCUUAUCAUUGUCCAACAACUUAAUGGACCCAUUUAAGGUGAACAAAGUUUCUGCAAUUUUCUAGCCAUGCUACUUCAUGUUAUCCUCACUGUCUAUAUAUUACAUUUUUCCUUUUGCCCUUCGCUGCCACUUGUCUUUGUUGCGAAAAUUCCAUCCGAGGAGUUUCAACACUCUGAAACUGCUCUGACCACUUUAACAUGUGGGUAGAUCGCAUAAUUUUUCUCUGUCUAGAUGAAUAACCUAUUGGCACUGCUUUAUCGACUUCAAAGAGCGCGCUCUGAUGUCAAGGUACUCCAUAUGCUAGAACAACUCUGGAUGGCAUGAAGUCAUUCUUGGAACCACUGGCAGGAAGCAUGACACUUUUGCAAAGGGCGCAAUGUCUCCUUCCACUUAGUCUUCUCUAUGCAAGUAUUCUUUUGAAUUUAGGCGGCAAAACUAAUUCAUCUGUAACACACUCUGGAACCGACCAAUCUUCUUUACCAGGCAUUGGAAUUAUUGGAACCUCAUAAGUUUUGGCUAAUGCAUCUGAUUUAUAGUAAUCAGAGUAGUAUGAAUGCAUAUCUGUAAUAUUUUUGAUUUUUAAAAAAGCAAUUGCAUAUGCACAA
Molecule: long non-coding RNA, 1315 nt
Organism: Solanum dulcamara
Lineage: Eukaryota; Viridiplantae; Streptophyta; Magnoliopsida; Solanales; Solanaceae
Exons: 3
Source: RefSeq, a predicted model, not a curated record